AGGUGGAGAAGACCAGGCACUACCUGCUCCUGCGGGAGAAGCUGGAGACCGCCCAGCGGCCUGUCCCAGAGGCACUGUCCCCGGCCUUCAGCGAGGACUCUGAGUCCCAUGGCUCCUCCAGCGCCUCCUCCCCGCUCUCGGCUGAGGGCCACCCAUCACCCCUGGAGGCUCCCAACGAGAGGCAGCGGGAGCUGGCCGUCAAGUGCUUGCGCCUGCUCAUGCACACAUUCAACAGAGAGUACACACACAGCCACGUCUGCGUCAGUGCCAGCGAGAGCAAGCUCUCCGAGAUGUCUGUCACCCUGCUCCGGGACCCGUCGAUGUCCCCUCUAGGGGCGGCCACUCUCACCCCCUCCUCCACUUGCCCCUCUCUGGUUGAAGGGCGGUACGGUGCCACUGACCUGAGGUGAGUGAGCUCCAGGCUCCCGGAGUGGCUUCCGGCACCACGGCUGACCCAUGACCAUGGCCAUGACUCGGGCACAGAGAGCACAGAACAGGGGGCCCCAACGGCCGAGUGUCUUGGGGUGGCCACAGGCUGAGGGAAGGGCCUGGAGGAGUGGAGUCCGCGGCCCUCUCAGAGGGCGCCUGUGCCCCGCCAGCUCCAUCCUAGUGUGUGCGUGUUCUCUUCCCUGAAGAAGACCAGAGAUGGGUGGAAAACAAGCUAAAGCUCCCCUUUCCUGAGACAGUGCUUAU
RNAcentral lists this small RNA (693 nucleotides) under Pongo abelii (Sumatran orangutan). RNAcentral's name for it is "retained intron". Lineage: Eukaryota; Metazoa; Chordata; Mammalia; Primates; Hominidae. The record is from RNAcentral.